AACAUGCAAUAUGCAAAUUAUGCAACCCAUAUAGUAGAUUAAUUGCUUCGACACUUUAUUCUUAUCCAUUCUUUACUUUUACUCAUUCUUCACUUUACUAGCUAUUCUUUAGCAUUAACCCUUCUUUAUUCUUUAUUACUUGUCAUUCUUCAGCAUUAGCCUUUUCUUAUUCUUGAUUCUUCAUUCUUUAUCCUUUACGCUUUACUAAGGGUACUCACACCUUAGUAAUAUUAUACACAUUAGCCUUUCUUUCCUAAAGUUACUUUACCUUAGCCAACUUUGCCAUCCGACUCGGUCUUGAGUCAAUCAACUGCGGAUAGUCCGCGCUCUAUCCGGCUCGAGGUGAAGGAACUCUCACAUACACCUCAGCCUUCAAUCACAAACCACAUCGCCCAACGGGUCACCCAGAGCUGCGUACACCCGUGGUCAGGGAUCCCCCGGUGGGAGAGGAACAUGCCGCAUACACCCGCAGCCGAGAUCCCCGAUAGGGAGAGGAAUAUGCCACAUGCACCCUAGCGCUCAUCAUUCUUGCUCAUUAACAAGCCUCGAAGUUCUUCCGGUGGGAGAGGAACACGCCACAUGCACUCGCGGCCAAGAACUAUCGAGCUUGUAUGCUGCACUAGCAGCAGGGAUUCUGGAAUCCACUUUACAUUACUCAAGGGUUGGUCUCACCCUAUGUUAUCGACCUAUCUAGGUCCAAACCUUUACUCAACCUAAAUUAAUACAUUAGGUUCAAUGUCAUUAUCUUCUUAGCCUAGGUUCAUUGACACUAGGUCCAACAUUCUUUAUCACCUAAGUUCAUUUGACUCUAGGUUCUAUAUCAUUACAUUUACAACCUAGGUUUAUUUGACUCUAGGUUCAAUGCCACUCAUAUUCUUGUUUUCCUAGUUGCCCACACCUAGAAAUUAUACUUAACAUGCCACUCGUGAAUAACCUAUGUUCAUCGACACUAGGUUCAUUAUUACUUUUGUUUAACCUAUGUCCUUGACACUAGGUCCAAUGCCACUCGAUCUAUAGGUGCAUUUAUGUCCACUUACACAUAUUCUUUACUUAGCAUUCUUAUCUUAUCAUUAUGCAUUUUCACUAGCAUGCUUUCUACUUUACGUUAACAUGCAAUGCCACUUAUCUCAUGCCUUUAGCUAACAUCAUUCGAUGCAUUUUCUUAGCAUUCUUAUUUAGCAAUUCUUACAUUAUGUCAACAUACAUUCUUUUAGCAUUUCUAUCAUGCGUCCAUUUCUAAAACAUGCAUCUAGCUCAUGUUACUUGAAAUUUAACUCAUACAUUUAUCUAGCAUAUGUCUUACAUACUCCUUUAGCGUUUAGCUCUUACAUUCAUUAGCAUACUUUACAUACAUUUACUUAGCAUCCAGCUCAUGUCGUCAUAUGCAUUUAUUAGCAUCAUUAUGGUACAUUCUUAAUUGGCAUUCUUAUUAUGCAUUCUUACUUAACAUUCUUAUCAUGCAUCAAUAGUGAAACACACUACACUUUGGCAUGAAGGCGACCUAGUCGCUUCGGUAAACACAACCCACCUUUUAACGCUUUCCGAUUGCUUGUCGUCACUUGCAAUCGGCCUCCCGCGGCACCCGUGACCCGGUUUGGCCCAAACUCUUGCGCGACCACCCGAACGGCCACCAAUCCGCGAUCCGUCUGUUCGGGAGUUUAUUCCCCGACACCACGAUGCUCCCGAUCCAUUUUCAUGAUUUUUGGAGGCUUAUCCCGCGUGCUGCGGCUAUCUGUACCAAAACAGAUUGUUUCGUCAAUAACUUCGCGUACACUCGUCGGAUUGUCGAACCGAGCGCACCAACGCGUUCGUUAUACCCCCAAUUAGGUUUGUAUAGGGUCAAUUGAGAUCAAACUCAACUAUUUACAAAAACCCCUUUUUGGAGCCCUAAAUGCAAUUAUAGCAAAAUGCCCCAUUUCAUCUCAUGAAUCAAGCAUAAACCAUCUAUUUAGCAUGCUAAGAUUCCAUUAAAAUCAUCUUUAGAGUAUAAGAACUUAACCCUAAAGAUCUACCAUUAAAGCUCCAAGAAGCUUACCUCAAGAAGCUUGCUCCAAGGUGAAGAAGAAGAUGAUGGAGGGAAGCUCUCCACUUGCUUCACCUUCUUUUCCUUUUCUUCUUCUUCUUUCUCUUCUUCUUCUUCUCUUCUCCUUUCCUUUCUAGAGAGAGAGAGAGGAGGCUUGGGGGAUGAUACGGUGAGGGAGAGGGAGAGAGAGAGGUUCUAAUCCUCUCUAUACAUAUAACUCAUGCAUAAAAUGCCAACAAGUCCCUCAACAAUCCUCUUCUUGCAUCAGCCCAAACUGGGCAUUUUCGGGGUUCUGAGACCGGUCCUUGCGGUGAGAGACCGGUCCCCGAAAGGCCAGAAUUCCAGACUUAGCCAAUUUUUCAGCAUUUUCAGCCUUUAUCCUUUUUCACUCCGUUUUCGCUCGUUUUCGCUCGUUUGACCUCCGUUUCUUUUCAAAUCGAACCGAGACUCUCCAAACAUGUUUUCAAGCAUGUUUUCAUCAUCUUUUCAUCCACGCUAAUGCCGGAUUUAGUCCAUGGUCCAUCAUAGCCUUUCGGGUCCCGUUUUCGCGCCCUAUGCGCACCGAAGCACCCGAAUGCUCCCGAACUUCGCCGGAACGAUUCUAAUGGCUUUCUAAGCUAACAUACAUCGUAACUUCAUGAAUUAGAAGUUCGGUAUAUUACAUUCUCCACCCCUUAAAAAGAGUUUCGUCCGCGAAACUCAAACCACACCUCAAUUCAGCUCCUCGAGCAAUUGAGGGCACUAAUGCACUUUUACACUUCGGAAGGCUUUACACUCUUUGGAACUAUCCAAGAGGACUACUACGGAGCUCAUGAUACAAAACGCAUCCAACUUUGUAAGGCACAUCUCACAAAGUGCAUUACGGUCUCCGUCACUCUAUGUGGUAGCGCAAGUCGAAACUCGACGACUCUACGCGCUCCAACUCCACUUGCCACUUGACAAGCAAGAACUCUUCUUUGCAUUUACUUCCCCUUCAGGGAAUGCAUUUCAAAUCAAUCACCGACAUUGCCUAAAAGCAAUAUCAUCGGUGCAUCGCUUUAUCGUGAGUGCUCUAACUCCGCACCGACUUUUGCUCUAAUGUGAGAUGGCCCACUUCAGCACAUCCCCACUUCCAAUCCUCAAAUUCCACGUGGCUUGCCAUAAGCUCAAGGUCUCUCCAAGAGCACUUCAUCACCUGAUACCAUAUGCCACGGUCAACACCACAUCACCUUCGCAACAACUCACACGAACACUUCGUUCGUGAAUUCAAGUCAAACUCCUCGAUAAGGCUAUCUGCCAAAUCGCUUUCCUCGGUCUUCAUUGGUGGUCCAAAGGCCACCAAUACUACGUAGGCCCACAGCCUAAACCUGUCUCAAUAUACGCGCAGCGCCUCUCGCUCGCAAGCGUAGACCCAAUCAUCACUGGGGCGAAAUUCUCACUUGGGAAUUCACACACACUCCAACCAGGAGCAACUAAAAUCCCAAACCAUUACAAAUCCUUUGGUUGGGUCACAAUCGUACUCUCGGUAUUCUCUCAAUCGCAUUACACGCUCUAUCGAGCAAUGCGUGUCACUACCGGCUCCUAUGCACCUAGUGCGAGCCACUAGCCCCACGAGUGAUUCAUGGCACACUUCACACUGGGCAAUGCCCAAGUGCUAUUGCAAACAAACUCACUCGGCAGAUCCAUAUUCGCACUCCACGAGUACCUAUACUCGAGCGUUGUACGCUACUAUAGCGUGCUACAAUAAGCCUGGGUUUUGGGCAAUCUUGCCCGAGCACAAUGCAACCGGUCUCACCCAGAGGGACCGGUCUCUCGGGGAUCGGUCUCUCCCGCAGGGACCGGUUCCCGAGAGCCUGUUUUCUUGAACUUAGCCAAUUUUUCUCCUUUGCUGGGCUUCUCACGCGUUCGGGGACCGAUCUCUCCAGCAGGGACCGGUCCCCGAGAGCCCAAAAACUACAGUUUGCAGAUUUUGAUUCUUAAGCUCUCAAAAACCUCCCACAAUGCACUUUUACUCAUUCUAACGCCUUCGGUCUUUCCGAAGCAUAGCAACCUCGCACUUCGAUCAAUUUGACUAAAGUUCGACAUUUACUUUCCGAAUUCUUCGGCAUAUCACAUUCUUGGUCCUUACUAUACUACUACAUAAAUAGUAGUAAUUAACUAUAUACUCAAUGCAUGUGACGCUCCAACUUUACAUCAUGCCGAAACACAUAACUGCAUGAAUAACUCAUACCUGCCACGACGUCGUCAGCAGCAGGUCCCACAAGCUGGGUCGCGUGUCCAUAGCCACUUGGCGCCCGCCGCGGACCCCUCGGUUGCAUCACUGUCAUCGCUCGCUCUCCCGACCGUGCCGCAGGUGGCACACCCGCCGGCUGUCCCGGAGAGGAAAAAGCCGUCGCCAACACUAAGGCCCGGCUAUCACCUUGCGGACACUCAUCCCGCAUAUGGCCUGGCUGCCCACAACGGAUACAUCUUCCAUCACGCAGCGCACACCGCCGCGCCUGGUGGGUACCACCACAAAUCACACAACCUGGGGAGGAUCGAGUAGAGGACGUCUUCGAGUGGCGCCUAGAACUUGACUGCCCACCCGAACUGUUCGACAAUUGCCUCACCCCUCCCCGCUCAUGCUUAUGAGAUUCGCGCUCCUCAUGCACGAAAGCCUCGCCAUGCUCUGCCCACAAUGCUCGGUCCAACACCUCCGCGAAGGUUGUGAGCUUGAGGAUUUGCACCUUCUCGUAAAUAUCUGGUCGAAGUCCACGUAAGAACCAAUCGGCCAUAUCCUUGUCAUCCCGUACCACAUCCGGGACACAAUUCACGAUACGGGAAAACUCCCGUUCGUACUCCCGCACUGAGCGGUCUCCUUGACGCAGCUUCCUGAACCUGUCCUGAAGCUUUCGCUUUUCACUGUCGGGGAAGUAAGCUGAGAAUACCAAUCCCCGAAACUCAUCCCAUGCCAUAGGAGGAAGACUAGGCGAUCGGUUCCGCCGAAUGCCUUUCCACCACACCUUCGCCGAUUGCUUCAAGCAAUGCACGGCUAGGGGUACCUUGUCCCGCUCCAAUGUGUACAGCUCCUCAAAGAGCGUUUCCAUGGAGUCAAUCCACAUAUCCACAAUCCAGGGAUCAACAUUCUCUCCAUCGAAGGUAGGCGGAUCAAACUUUACGAAGGUCAUGAGGGCCGCCAAAGCCCGCUCUUUCUCCGCCUCCGCCAAUGCACUUUCGGGAGUCGGAUCGCCCGACCCCGACGGAACCAUCUCUGCUGCAAGCCCUGCCCGUCCUCGACGAGCCGCAACUGGCGCAGCCACUAGCUGCUCCACGGUCUCUUGGAGUCUCUUGAUCCGUUCUUCCUGGCGCAUAGCAGCCUCCUGCUGACGCUGCACUACGCCCACAAGCAUUCCCAACUGUUCGCGGAGCUCCGAGUCUCCUCUCGCUCCGGAUUGCUCAGGAACAUCACUUGUCCCAUCCCGCGUCGAUCUAGCCGAAGAUCGCCUACGCGGUGCCAUCGUUCCCUGACACAUGACAACUCGAUUAAUUCUCAACCUUCGAGGUCGAGUACAAAACAUUUAACAUUGACUCAAAUCGGGCGAAAGUUAUACAAGGGCGUCUAUUCUCAUCACUCGGUUUCAUGUUGUCGUACGCCCAACAUGAACACACUCGGUUGAGAAUAAACCACACCUUGAAUCUACCUCUAACAUCCAUUAUAGAGGUUUACCACAUAACCCAAUCAUUAACCUUUCGCCACAAGUCUCCAGUCCUCGUCUCUCACGAGCCUUAAUCUCCUAUGGUUUACUAUCCUAGGGUCUCCUAGGUCAAGCUAAACCAUUUUCUUUAAACUCUUUUAUGUUCUUUUUAUGUUCUCUCUAUGUUCUCUUUAUGUUCUUUUUAUGCUCUGAUACCAUCUUAUCUGUCACGCCCCGAGCCCGCCUCUUUGGUCGGAUUCGGGCACGCCAACAGACCGCCGAACGGACAGGGUUUCCCCUGUACCGCGGACAGAGUCUCCCCUGUACGUUCAAGGCGUCGCAAUCAAUACAAUGUACGAAGUUCCAACCAGGAACACAUUUCAAGCAAAGAUUGCAUAAGGAAGUAUCAAAAACAUAAAUCUACUUGCUAUUACAAGCAUUCACAUUCAUACAUUUUUACAUCACAAUUCUCAUUUGAUUCUUACAUUAGCUUUCACUUAACUUCCAAAUACAAUCCGAUUUUAACAUAGUUAUUACAACAUUGUUCUUACAAUUAUCACAUUUUUGGUUCUUUGCAUUUUAUACCCCUAAGAAGCCGACUCAGGGUGCUGCUAUCUGGUCUCAGUGGUAGGGCGCUAACUACGGAGCUACGCCCUUUCCUCGCGCCGCCGCGCCGCUCGCGUGUGAACCUGUAAAACCCCGAAACAACGUGGGGUGAGAACUAACUCCAUAGUUCCCAGUGGGUACGGCCACCCAAGGGAAGAGCUCGACCAUCAGGUCAAAGGAGGCAAACAACAUGUUAGUCCAAUAGAUAGAUAUGAAAUCAUAAAUCAUGCAACUAACAUUACCAUGCUUUUGCCUCACAACAUGCAAUAUGCAAAUUAUGCAACUCAUAUAGUAGAUUAAUUGCUUCUACACUUUAUUCUUAUCCAUUCUUUACUUUUACUCAUUCUUUACUUUACUAGCUAUUCUUUAGCAUUAACCCUUCUUUAUUCUUUAUUACUUGUCAUUCUUUAGCAUUAGCCUUUUCUUAUUCUUGAUUCUUCAUUCUUUAUUCUUUACGCUUUACUAAGGGUACUCACACCUUAGUAAUAUUAUACACAUUAGCCUUUCUUUCCUAAGGUUACUUUACCUUAGCCAACUUUGCCAUCCGACUCGGUCUUGAGUCAAUCAACUGCGGAUAGUCCGCGCUCUGUCCGGCUCGAGGUGAAGGAACUCACACAUGCACCUCAGCCCUCAAUCACAAACCACAUCGCCCAACGGGUCGCCCAGAGCUGCGUACACCCGUGGUCAGGGAUCCCCCGGUGGGAGAGGAACAUGCCGC
RNAcentral lists this long non-coding RNA (7000 nucleotides) under Ananas comosus (pineapple). RNAcentral describes it as "long non-coding RNA (ACOM_LNC016716)". The record is from RNAcentral. Lineage: Eukaryota; Viridiplantae; Streptophyta; Magnoliopsida; Poales; Bromeliaceae.